Molecule: transfer RNA, 75 nt
Filed under: Gammaproteobacteria bacterium
Lineage: Bacteria; Pseudomonadati; Pseudomonadota; Gammaproteobacteria
Description: tRNA-Trp
Rfam family: tRNA
About the family: Transfer RNA (tRNA) molecules are approximately 80 nucleotides in length. Their secondary structure includes four short double-helical elements and three loops (D, anti-codon, and T loops). Further hydrogen bonds mediate the characteristic L-shaped molecular structure. tRNAs have two regions of fundamental functional importance: the anti-codon, which is responsible for specific mRNA codon recognition, and the 3' end, to which the tRNAs corresponding amino acid is attached (by aminoacyl-tRNA synthetases). tRNAs cope with the degeneracy of the genetic code in two manners: having more than one tRNA (with a specific anti-codon) for a particular amino acid; and 'wobble' base-pairing, i.e. permitting non-standard base-pairing at the 3rd anti-codon position.
Source: RNAcentral
GCCUCGUUAGUUUAUGUGAUAAAACGGCUGACUCCAAAUCAGCAGCUAGCGGUUUGAAUCCGUUACGGGGUGCCA